GUUAAUUCUAUUUAUUCAUCUGUGCGCUUACGUGUGUGGUCUGGUGGAGAACUAUCAGAGGCUUUUGACAAUCAUAUUGGUGUAAAACAAGGCGAGCCCUUAUCUCCGUUACUUUUCUUAUUUUUUAUAAAUGACAUUAUUCAAGAUAUCUCCACCGAUGUAAACGAAGAUGUCAUAUCUUUGAAUGGAAUCCUUAUAUAUCUAAUACUUUU
RNAcentral lists this long non-coding RNA (212 nucleotides) under Mytilus galloprovincialis (Mediterranean mussel). Lineage: Eukaryota; Metazoa; Mollusca; Bivalvia; Mytilida; Mytilidae. The record is from RNAcentral.